This 445-nucleotide ribosomal RNA is filed under the name bacterium m7. RNAcentral describes it as "bacterial SSU rRNA". It matches the Rfam family "Bacterial small subunit ribosomal RNA", at positions 1 to 455 of the family's 1533-position model. The record is from RNAcentral.
UGAGUUUGAUCAUGGCUCAAAUUGAACGCUGGCGGCAGGCUUAACACAUGCAAGUCGAGCGGGGGAAGGUAGCUUGCUACCGGACCUAGCGGCGGACGGGUGAGUAAUGCUUAGGAAUCUGCCUAUUAGUGGGGGACAACAUCUCGAAAGGGAUGCUAAUACCGCAUACGUCCUACGGGAGAAAGCAGGGGAUCUUCGGACCUUGCGCUAAUAGAUGAGCCUAAGUCGGAUUAGCUAGUUGGUGGGGUAAAGGCCUACCAAGGCGACGAUCUGUAGCGGGUCUGAGAGGAUGAUCCGCCACACUGGGACUGAGACACGGCCCAGACUCCUACGGGAGGCAGCAGUGGGGAAUAUUGGACAAUGGGGGGAACCCUGAUCCAGCCAUGCCGCGUGUGUGAAGAAGGCCUUAUGGUUGUAAACGACUUUAAGCGAGGAGGAGGCUACU